UCCUAAUAUGAGACAAGACAUGGCAAAAAAAAGUGUCAAACAAGAGAAUGAGAGUGGCCAAAGAAACGAGGUGGUGGUGGCUAGACAUGAAACAAAGUACAAGACAUAAAAACAUUUAAGUUUGAAAGAGAUAAAAUUUGGAAAAGGGAGAACUAGCAGUGUUUAAGAUUCCGAUGGGGGAGGGAAAGCCAUUGAUUGGGCCUUUGAAACCAUGCCAGGAACCAAGAGCCAGGGGUAGUGGCAGAGGGGACGGCCAGGUAGGACAAUUAAAACGGAAGUCUGGCUCCUUACAACACAGCAUGGAGCGGGGCUACAGCAUUUGCUGCAGUGGGAGGUGGGGCCAGUCUGGCACAGUCUGUGGGUUUGAAAGGAGCUGGGCGGGUUGGAGAAUGCCAGUCAGCCUUUGUAGUUCUGAGCUCAGAGAGGGGGUGACACAUACUGGGCUUCAGGUCAGAAGCCUGGCUUGGGUGGCUUUUGGAGAAAUUUUCCCUCUGCUCCCAAACUCUUAAAAGGUGCUCAUCACACCACUGGCCUCCAAUCACAGCAUAAGCACGUGUUCCAAAGGCCAUCCUCCAGCAGAGAUUUCGGCAGUGGUACCUGUUGGCUGGCUCAUGGGGUCCUUUCCUUUUUCCAUUCCCUGGAAGCCGUCAACUGGACUGAAUACAACAUCUUUGCGUCUUUUUCUUCACCCUCCCCACAUGCUUGCAUCUCCCAGACUCCUAGGGUUAAUCCCCAGGACAACCUUGCUUUGAAAGAAAAAAUGUGGUGAGCCUACUUGAAGAUUUGGAUUCCAAGAGGCCUCUGUCUGUCCUGCCUCAGCCAGAGCCAGACAGCCAGCUCAAGGAGAUGGGCAAUUUACAGAGAAAGCAGCACUGGUCCUAUAGUACCCCUCCUCAGGAAUGUCUCCCCAGUGCAAGGACAAAGACUGAAGAGACUGCUAUAUUGAUGGACUCUCAAGCCAACUAUGAAGUUGAAACAAAGAAAGUGAUCACCUGAAGACACCUCCUCUGCUAAGAAACACCCCCAAAUUGUGCAGCUUCUGCCACUAGAACUCUCAGAACAAGAGACAAUCUUUUCAAGAAACAGAAAAACUCAAUAAUGACAUCUAGAUUUUCAUGAGCCAAGAACUUUCCCUUCCUCAUGUGUAUUCCUCUGUUUGUACUUAAAUUCAUGUG
This 1175-nucleotide long non-coding RNA is filed under the name Homo sapiens (human). Its description in RNAcentral is "mir-100-let-7a-2-mir-125b-1 cluster host gene". Lineage: Eukaryota; Metazoa; Chordata; Mammalia; Primates; Hominidae. The record is from RNAcentral.